Molecule: long non-coding RNA, 239 nt
Organism: Helianthus annuus (common sunflower)
Lineage: Eukaryota; Viridiplantae; Streptophyta; Magnoliopsida; Asterales; Asteraceae
Exons: 3
Source: RefSeq, a predicted model, not a curated record
GUUGUAAGCCCUUUGGUUCUUCCACACCUCCAUCGAUCCCCGCUAAAGACAAGGGGGUGCUACCCAUACCGACACCAGUUAAGCGCGUUGAAGCGAUCGUAAGGCCUGCUUAUGCAGAUUCGGAUUCAGAAGAAACAGUUGACAGUGACCCACAUGAAAGUCAGUUGGCUGGUGAUGGGAUUGGGGAUGACGGUGGCAUGCGUUAGCUAAAGUUUGGUCUAUGUGUUAUCCAAUAAGAU